This 429-nucleotide ribosomal RNA is filed under the name Chloroflexota bacterium. RNAcentral's name for it is "Chloroflexi bacterium partial 16S ribosomal RNA". It matches the Rfam family "Bacterial small subunit ribosomal RNA", at positions 355 to 776 of the family's 1533-position model. Lineage: Bacteria; Bacillati; Chloroflexota. The record is from RNAcentral.
UGGGGAAUAUUGCACAAUGGGAGCAAGCCUGAUGCAGCCAUGCCGCGUGUAUGAAGAAGGCCUUCGGGUUGUAAAGUACUUUCAGUCGGGAGGAAGGUGUCAAGGUUAAUAACCUUGGCAAUUGACGUUACUGACAGAAGAAGCACCGGCUAACUCCGUGCCAGCAGCCGCGGUAAUACGGAGGGUGCAAGCGUUAAUCGGAAUUACUGGGCGUAAAGCGCACGCAGGCGGUUGAUUGAGUCAGAUGUGAAAUCCCCGGGCUUAACCCGGGAAUUGCAUCUGAUACUGGUCAGCUAGAGUCUUGUAGAGGGGGGUAGAAUUCCAUGUGUAGCGGUGAAAUGCGUAGAGAUGUGGAGGAAUACCGGUGGCGAAGGCGGCCCCCUGGACAAAGACUGACGCUCAGGUGCGAAAGCGUGGGGAGCAAACAGG